GAGUUUGAUCAUGGCUCAGAUUGAACGCUGGCGGCAGGCCUAACACAUGCAAGUCGAGCGGAGUAGCAAUACUUAGUGGCAGACGGGUGAGUAACAUGUAGGUAUCUUCCCUUUGGUGAGGAAUAACACGAGGAAACUUGUGCUAAUACCUCAUAAGUCUUUACAGAGAAAGCUUUAUGCGCCGAAGGAUGAGCCUGCACUUGAUUAGUUUGUUGGUGGGGUAAUGGCCUACCAAGACUGUGAUCUAUAGCUGAUCUGAGAGGAUGAUCAGCCACAUUGGGACUGAGACACGGCGCAAACUCCUACGGGAGGCAGCAGUAGGGAAUAUUGCACAAUGGAGGAAACUCUGAUGCAGCGAUGCCGCGUGAGUGAAGAAGGCCUUUGGGUUGUAAAGCUCUUUCGUCGGGGGAGAAAAUGACUGUACCCGAAUAAGAAGGUCCGGCUAACUUCGUGCCAGCAGCCGCGGUAAUACGAAGGGACCUAGCGUAGUUCGGAAUUACUGGGCUUAAAGAGUUCGUAGGUGGUUAAAAAAGUUGGUGGUGAAAUCCCAGAGCUUAACUCUGGAACUGCCAUCAAAACUUUUUAGCUAGAGUAUGAUAGAGGAAAGCAGAAUUUCUAGUGUAGAGGUGAAAUUCGUAGAUAUUAGAAAGAAUACCAAUUGCGAAGGCAGCUUUCUGGAUCAUUACUGACGCUGAGGAACGAAAGCAUGGGUGGCGAAGAGGAUUAGAUACCCUCGUAGUCCAUGCCGUAAACGAUGUGUGUUAGACGUUGGAAAUUUAUUUUCAGCGUCGCAGCGAAAGCAUUAAACACACCGCCUGGGGAGUACGACCGCAAGGUUAAAACUCAAAUGAAUUGACGGGGACCCGCACAAGUAGUGGGAGCAUGUGGUUUAAUUCGAAGAUACGCGCAGAACCUUACCAACACUUGACAUGUUCGUCGCGACUCUAAGAGAUUAGAGUUUUCGGUUCGGCCGGACGAAACACAGGUGCUGCAUGGCUGUCGUCAGCUCGUGCCGUGAGAUGUUGGGUUAAGUCCCGCAACGAGCGCAACCCUCACUUUUAGUUGCCAUCAUUUAGUUGGGCACUCUGAAAGAACUGCCAGUGAUAAGCUGGAGGAAGGUGGGGAUGACGUCAAGUCCUCAUGGCCCUUACGUGUUGGGCUACACACGUGCUACAAUGGCAUUUACAAUAGGAAGCAGGAUGGCGACAUCAAGCAAAUCCUAAAAAGAUGCCUCAGUUCGGAUUGUACUCUGCAACUCGAGUACAUGAAGCUGGAAUUACUAGUAAUCGCGGAUCAGCGCGCCGCGGUGAAUACGUUCCUGGGUCUUGUACACACCGCCCGUCACACCAUGGGAGUUGGUUCUACCUUAAGGCAAGGUUUUAAACCCUUGACUACGGUAUAGUCAGCGACUGGGGUGAAGUCGUAACAAGGUAACC
Molecule: ribosomal RNA, 1436 nt
Filed under: uncultured marine bacterium
Lineage: Bacteria
Description: bacterial SSU rRNA
Rfam family: Bacterial small subunit ribosomal RNA
Source: RNAcentral